This is a non-coding RNA of Bactrocera oleae (olive fruit fly), 2214 nucleotides long. NCBI's taxonomy places the organism in Eukaryota, Metazoa, Arthropoda, Insecta, Diptera, Tephritidae. The record is from RefSeq and is a predicted model, not a curated record.
CUUUGUGCAUACAAACACAUAUACAAAUAUGCAUGUGCUUGCAACGCCGUGAACAUGGCGAACCCAAUGACGUAUGAAUUUAUGAUUUAUAAAUUCGCAACAGAUCCACAGAUAUGCAACUAACCCCAUUAACGAUUUCCACGCUUUGAUGUAGGAACCUCAAAAGAAGAAAAAAUGAAACAUUUAUAUAUUUACUUACAACAUCGCGCACAUGGCAUUGUAACCCAGUGAGUUUGUGUAUAAAUUCAGCGCUGAAGAUUACGCAAUUUCCAACGGGCAUUGUAACAGUGUUUGCAGUUAAUGCGAAACUGGCAGUGAAACAAAACCUUAUAUUACCGACUCGUAAACGUUGCGGUUUAGUCAACCGAUAACCGAUGGAGGUCUCGCAAAAAGUGCGCGCGCAGAUUGUAAACGUAAUUGAAUGUAAAAAUGCACAUAUAAAUUUUUAAAGUCUACAAGUUUACAACUUACAUAAUCAGCGAGCGAGCAUUGCAUUUUACUACACACACAAAUGCAGUUUGCACAUUCGCAAUCAAUUCCGCAAUGCGUCGGUCACUUGGCCAAUUCCGCUGUCAACCGGUUUGUUGUCUUUUCCGUUGUCCGGUAAUGCCGAAACAAAAGCAAAAAGUCGCAAACAUAAAUAACGAGAAAAAAAACGAAAUUCUUUGUAUUAUGUAAUUUUUGGACUCUACAGGUUUUCAGUGGUCUGGGCGUGUGGCAAUGCAACGUCAGCAGAACAAAAAUCUAGUAUCUACUAAAUGCUGGUUAUGGCUUGUUGCACGAACAAAUUGCUUGGUUAUCUCUACAUAGACCAAAGAUGAAUGCUUAACGCAAUAUGUGGAUGUAUAUACAAUACAUGAUCUUUCACACCUUUUUCCCAUGGGUCCUCAGGUACUCUAGACGCAACUGUCGUGUCAUCACAUGAGCAAUACGUAUGCGCAGCCACUCUGGACUCAGUUUCAUGAAAAAAUACUGAAGCAUAAUAAUUUACGCCAAUUAGAAAGCGCACAUAGAAUCAAAAUAUUAUAUUGGUAUAAGUGUAUACAUAGGUAUAUAUAUAUAGCUUGUUUUUGUUGUUAAAAAUUUUAGUUCGAAAAUGUUCCAAACUUUUUGUAUUUCAUGUCUGAUAUGUUUUGUAUACUUGUAUUUAGUAGAAAAAAUCGUUUCAAAAUCACUUACCUGCAGGCCAUGUGUCCAAUAUCCCGUCGUCUCUGCCGAUUUGCCUAAAGUAAAAACAGCUGAGCGCGUAAAGCUCUUAACAUCCGGUAUUAGAAAUCCACCUUUCAUAACUGUAUCCGAAUAUUGAUUCAUUUUUGUAACCAAAAAGAGCGGUGUGACACACUGUACUGUUAUAUUAUGUUCGGCCAAUUCACGCUCGACCGCUUGAGAGAAACAUCUCACAUAGCGCUUGGUAGCGGCAUAAACCGCCAUAUAGGGUAUAGGCUGCAAUUCACUGCCAGAUGAUAUAUUGACAAUAGCACCACGUUUCUGCUUCUUCAGUUCUGGUAUGAGCAUCCGCGACAUUAUGGUUACAGCGGCGACAUUUAUAUUGAUCAGAUCCCAAAUAGUAUCUUCGGGUAUUUUUGAGAGCUCAUCGGGGUAGUCGUACAUUUUGCCAACAUUGUUAACUGUAAAUCGAUGUGAGGGGGUUUCAAGUAAUAUACAAUUUUUGAGUAAAAAUAAUAGAUGUGGGGAGUUGCAAGUAAUAUACAAUUUUAAGUAAAAAUUCUAUUUCUGUCAAGGAUCAGCCGUUCCUUUUGUAGCACCGAUUUUGGGAUAAUAAUCAUAGUUGCAACACUUACCCAAUAUGCCUACUGGUAUGCCACUCAGCUCCCGUUCAAUGUGUGCAUACACCUCACGCCCCUUGGCGAAGUCUGCAACGAUCCAUUUUGUCUUCACUUUGUACUCAUUUUCUGUAAAAAAUAAUAUAUUUUUUAAAAUUCUGUAUAAAUUUUUAUAAUUUUUAAAUCAAGUUAGAUAGAGAUUAAAUAUUUUUUGUAUAGAAUUUUAUCAUCAAAGAAUAUUAAAUAUCAACUACAAUAAAAUGUCAUUUGGUAACCUUUGUUUUCGUUCCUCGAUUUGCUUAUAAAUGACUUGCAUUGUGUCUUCGAGUAUUCGCUAUUAACACAACUUAUUUCGAAUUUUUUUUAAGUAUUUCAAUAUUUUAGUAUAUUGACAAUUAUUGCACUAUUCAGUAAUUUGCUUACCGAUCUC